Molecule: ribosomal RNA, 293 nt
Filed under: Pristurus rupestris rupestris
Lineage: Eukaryota; Metazoa; Chordata; Lepidosauria; Squamata; Sphaerodactylidae
Description: partial 12S ribosomal RNA
Source: RNAcentral
CCCACCCGUACUANAGGAGCCUGUCCUAUAAUCGACACUCCACGCUAUACCUCACCCCCCCUUGCCACCCCAAUCUAUAUACCGCCGUCGCCAGUUCACAAUGUGAGUGUACCACCGUGAGCAAAACCAUCAACCAUUAAAACGACAGGUCAAGGUGUAGUUUACGGGGGGGGAAGUGAUGGGCUACAUUUUCUCCACUANAAAAUACCAACCGCACCGUGAAACUUAUGCCNNNNGGNGGAUUUAGAAGUAAGCUUGGCAAGACAUGCCAACCUGAAACCAGCCCUGGGACG